Molecule: ribosomal RNA, 450 nt
Filed under: uncultured bacterium
Lineage: Bacteria
Description: bacterial SSU rRNA
Rfam family: Bacterial small subunit ribosomal RNA
Source: RNAcentral
GAUGAAUGCUGGCGGCGUGGAUGAGGCAUGCAAGUCGAAUGGGUUUAGGCCCAUGGCAGACGAGGUAGGAACACGUAGGUACGUACCCAAGAGUCAGGGAUAACCCGUCGAAAGGCGGUACAAUACUUGAUGGUCCCUUCGGGGUAAAGAUUUAUCGCUCUUGGAACGGCCUGCGGGCUAUCAGCUUGUUGGUAAGGUAACGGCUUACCAAGGCUACGACGGCUAGGGGGAGGUGAGAGCCUGACCCCCACCGAUGGAACUGCGACACGGUCCAUACUCCUACGGGAGGCUGCAGUCGAGAAUCUUCCGCAAUGGACGAAAGUCUGACGGAGCGACGCCGCGUGGUGGAUGAAGUCCCUCGGGACGUAAACACCUUUUAUGAGGGAGGAAGUUUAUUGACGUUACCUCAUGAAUAAGGGGCUCCCAACUCUGUGCCAGCAGCCGCGGUAA